Molecule: small nuclear RNA, 141 nt
Organism: Chlorocebus sabaeus (green monkey)
Lineage: Eukaryota; Metazoa; Chordata; Mammalia; Primates; Cercopithecidae
Rfam family: U4 spliceosomal RNA
About the family: U4 small nuclear RNA (U4 snRNA) is a component of the major U2-dependent spliceosome. The structure of U4 snRNA from yeast and human has been reported. U4 snRNA presents a k-turn RNA motif in the 5p-SL related to recognition of Snu13 protein.
Source: Rfam
GGGAUUGCGCAGUGGCAGUGUUGUCGCCAGUGAGGUUUAUCCAAGGUGUGAUUAUUGCCGAUUGAAAACUCUUCCCACUACCCUGCCAUGAUGACUUGAAGUAUAGUCGACAUUGGCAGUUUCUCACAGUCUUUAUGGAGA